CUGGUUGAUCCUGCCAGACCCGACUGCUAUCGGAUUGGGACUAAGCCAUGCGAGUCAACUCCGCAAGGGGUGGCGCACGGCUCAGUAACACGUAGUCAACCUACCCUGGGGACGGGGAUAACCUCGGGAAACUGAGGCUAAACCCCGAUGGGCCAUGGCUCCUGGAAUGGGCUAUGGCUGAAAUCUACAUGGCCCCAGGAUGGGACUGCGGCCGAUCAGGUUGUUGGUGGGGUAAUGGCCCACCAAGCCUAUAACCGGUGCGGGCUCUGAGAGGAGGAGCCCGGAGAUGGGCACUGAGACAAGGGCCCAGGUCCUAUGGGGCGCAGCAGGCGCGAAACCUCCGCAAUGGGCGAAAGCCCGACGGGGUCAGUCCGAGUGGUUCCCGCUGAGGGAACCUUUUGCCAGCUGUAAACAGGCUGGCGAAUAAGGGGUGGGCAAGUUUGGUGUCAGCCGCCGCGGUAAUACCAGCACCCCGAGUGGUCGGGACGAUUAUUGGGCCUAAAGCAUCCGUAGCCGGCCCAGUAAGUCCUCCGUUAAAUCCAACGGCUCAACCGUUGGGCUGCGGGGGAUACUGCUGGGCUAGGGGACGGGAGAGGCGAGGGGUAUUCCCGGGGUAGGGGUAAAAUCCACUGAUCCCGGGAGGGCCACCAGUGGCGAAGGCGCCUCGCUAGAACGUGCCCGACGGUGAGGGAUGAAAGCUGGGGGAGCGAACCGGAUUAGAUACCCGGGUAGUCCCAGCCGUAAACGAUGUAGGCUCGGUGUUGGGCUGCCUCAGUGGCAGCCCAGUGCCGCAGGGAAGCCGUUAAGCCUACCGCCUGGGGAGUACGGCCGCAAGGCUGAAACUUAAAGGAAUUGGCGGGGGAGCACCAC
This 870-nucleotide ribosomal RNA is filed under the name uncultured archaeon. RNAcentral's name for it is "bacterial SSU rRNA". It matches the Rfam family "Archaeal small subunit ribosomal RNA", at positions 4 to 882 of the family's 1478-position model. The record is from RNAcentral.